CCUACGGGAGGCUGCAGUGGGGAAUAUUGCACAAUGGGCGCAAGCCUGAUGCAGCCAUGCCGCGUGUGUGAAGAAGGCCUUCGGGUUGUAAAGCACUUUCAGCGGGGAGGAAGGCGUUAAGGUUAAUAACCUUGUCGAUUGACGUUACCCGCAGAAGAAGCACCGGCUAACUCCGUGCCAGCAGCCGCGGUAAUACGGAGGGUGCAAGCGUUAAUCGGGAUUACUGGGCGUAAAGCGCACGCAGGCGGUCUGUCAAGUCGGAUGUGAAAUCCCCGGGCUCAACCUGGGAACUGCAUUCGAAACUGGCAGGCUAGAGUCUUGUAGAGGGGGGUAGAAUUCCAGGUGUAGCGGUGAAAUGCGUAGAGAUCUGGAGGAAUACCGGUGGCGAAGGCGGCCCCCUGGACAAAGACUGACGCCCAGGUGCGAAAGCGUGGGGAGCAAACAGGAUUAGAUACCCGGGUAGUC
RNAcentral lists this ribosomal RNA (465 nucleotides) under uncultured Klebsiella sp. Its description in RNAcentral is "bacterial SSU rRNA". It matches the Rfam family "Bacterial small subunit ribosomal RNA", at positions 338 to 795 of the family's 1533-position model. Lineage: Bacteria; Pseudomonadati; Pseudomonadota; Gammaproteobacteria; Enterobacterales; Enterobacteriaceae. The record is from RNAcentral.